RNAcentral lists this transfer RNA (72 nucleotides) under Alienimonas chondri. RNAcentral describes it as "tRNA-Thr". It matches the Rfam family "tRNA". Rfam says of the family: Transfer RNA (tRNA) molecules are approximately 80 nucleotides in length. Their secondary structure includes four short double-helical elements and three loops (D, anti-codon, and T loops). Lineage: Bacteria; Pseudomonadati; Planctomycetota; Planctomycetia; Planctomycetales; Planctomycetaceae. The record is from RNAcentral.
GCCGUCGUAGCUCAGUGGUAGAGCGACGCUCUCGUAAAGCGUAGGUCGUGGGUUCAAAUCCCACCGACGGCU